GUACGUAGGGUGCAAGCGUUGUCCGGAAUUAUUGGGCGUAAAGAGCUCGUAGGCGGUGUGUCACGUCUGCCGUGAAAACCUGCGGCUUAACCGUGGGCGUGCGGUGGAUACGGGCAUCACUUGAGUUCGGUAGGGGAGACUGGAAUUCCUGGUGUAGCGGUGGAAUGCGCAGAUAUCAGGAGGAACACCGGUGGCGAAGGCGGGUCUCUGGGCCGAUACUGACGCUGAGGAGCGAAAGCGUGGGGAGCGAACAGGAUUAGAUACCCUGGUAGUCCACGCCGUAAACGUUGGGCGCUAGGUGUGGGGUGCUGUUCACGUGUCCCGUGCCGUAGCUAACGCAUUAAGCGCCCCGCCUGGGGAGUACGGCCGCAAGGCUAAA
This 379-nucleotide ribosomal RNA is filed under the name uncultured bacterium. RNAcentral's name for it is "bacterial SSU rRNA". It matches the Rfam family "Bacterial small subunit ribosomal RNA", at positions 523 to 898 of the family's 1533-position model. The record is from RNAcentral.